Oncorhynchus masou masou (cherry salmon) is the source of this 253-nucleotide long non-coding RNA. RefSeq lists it as uncharacterized. The transcript has 3 exons. NCBI's taxonomy places the organism in Eukaryota, Metazoa, Chordata, Actinopteri, Salmoniformes, Salmonidae. The record is from RefSeq and is a predicted model, not a curated record.
UAAUCCUAGGUCGUACUGGCAGGGCGGGACGCACAGGGAGAGCUGUCACCUUCUUCACCGAGGAUGACAAGCCUCUUCUACGCAGUAUUGCCAAUGUGAUCAAACAGGCCGGUUGUCCUGUCCCUGGCUACAUGGUAGGCUUUAAAAAGAUACACAGUAAGGUAAAACGGCAGCUCCAGAAGAAACCGCCGAAGAGGAGCACCAUCCGGUACCACGCCUCAAUUUGUACUGAAGAAGGGAAGAGGAGGAGAGA